RNAcentral lists this unclassified non-coding RNA (211 nucleotides) under Hevea brasiliensis (rubber tree). Lineage: Eukaryota; Viridiplantae; Streptophyta; Magnoliopsida; Malpighiales; Euphorbiaceae. The record is from RNAcentral.
GCUUCCCUUCAUUUCAGGCAAACCUGCAGUGAAGAAGAGAUAACAAUCAUAUCUAGCAGGUGAAUAGAUCAAUAUGCACUUAAGUGCCACCUACAGGAAGGGCAACAACAUUUAUACUGGUCAGUGUUUAACAUGUGUGAGAUAAACACUAAACAGAUAAGAUACAAAUAAACAGAACAAGAGACAUACACACCAAAAUCUACAAUUUUGA